Molecule: ribosomal RNA, 113 nt
Filed under: uncultured eukaryote
Lineage: Eukaryota
Description: partial small subunit ribosomal RNA
Rfam family: Eukaryotic small subunit ribosomal RNA
Source: RNAcentral
UCGCUCCUACCGAUUGGAUGAUCCGGUGAAGUCUUCGGACUGUUGAUUAGACGCUGGUUUCCAGUAUCUUAACGAUGGAAAGUUGAUUAAACCUUAUCAUCUAGAGGAAGGAA